RNAcentral lists this transfer RNA (69 nucleotides) under Ictidomys tridecemlineatus (thirteen-lined ground squirrel). RNAcentral describes it as "Spermophilus tridecemlineatus (thirteen-lined ground squirrel) tRNA". It matches the Rfam family "tRNA". Rfam says of the family: Transfer RNA (tRNA) molecules are approximately 80 nucleotides in length. Their secondary structure includes four short double-helical elements and three loops (D, anti-codon, and T loops). Further hydrogen bonds mediate the characteristic L-shaped molecular structure. tRNAs have two regions of fundamental functional importance: the anti-codon, which is responsible for specific mRNA codon recognition, and the 3' end, to which the tRNAs corresponding amino acid is attached (by aminoacyl-tRNA synthetases). tRNAs cope with the degeneracy of the genetic code in two manners: having more than one tRNA (with a specific anti-codon) for a particular amino acid; and 'wobble' base-pairing, i.e. permitting non-standard base-pairing at the 3rd anti-codon position. Lineage: Eukaryota; Metazoa; Chordata; Mammalia; Rodentia; Sciuridae. The record is from Rfam by way of RNAcentral.
GGGAUUGUGGCUCAGUGGUAGAGUGCUUGCCUCACAUGUGUGAGGCACUGGGUUCAAUUCUCAGCACCG